Molecule: long non-coding RNA, 625 nt
Organism: Octodon degus (degu)
Lineage: Eukaryota; Metazoa; Chordata; Mammalia; Rodentia; Octodontidae
Exons: 3
Source: RefSeq, a predicted model, not a curated record
AAUCCUGUUCCUAAGGAUAGGCCUCACUUAGCACUCCUGCAUGGGUGGGCCUAGAACAAGAUUGGAGAUAGAGUGCUCACCAGCUGACAGCAAUAAAGACUUAAUUGCUGAUAGUGGGGAAAUUCAGCACCUAGAAAGAUUUCCUUGUUAAGUGAAUGAAGAACCCAUUCAAAAAGAUAACAUCAGAUUGCCUCAUGGGAUACUGAGCAGCCAAGGAAGCCAUUGAUGGUACUUGGUUUCCACAUGAUAAAGAAGUUUUGAAAGCUUCAUGGUUCUGUUGGAUAGCCGCAUAUAUAAAAUGGGCUUGGAGAAUGUGAAUGACCUCUUGAAGUGAGUAAGUAAAACUCAGUAUAUUACAUUAAAUAUCAUCUUCUUUUUGAUAACAGUCUUAGAGUCUACCUUUUCUCAUCAUGGAAUUUUUCUUCCUUUCCAAAGAUGCACUCUGGUAACAUUUAUUUUCUACUCAUUUUGACGUCGAGAAAAAUAAAAGAUGAAAAUAUGUCCCAAAUUCCUCCCAUAUCCCUUAAAACAUUUCACAAAAUUAAUCAUACAAAUUCAUAAUAGAAAUGAAGAUUUAUCGUGCCUCUACAAUUUAUGAAAAUGUAUCAUGUAAUUAGGCUUUUUU